RNAcentral lists this ribosomal RNA (177 nucleotides) under Paenibacillus sp. MYb63. RNAcentral's name for it is "partial 16S ribosomal RNA". It matches the Rfam family "Bacterial small subunit ribosomal RNA", at positions 1 to 168 of the family's 1533-position model. The record is from RNAcentral. Lineage: Bacteria; Bacillati; Bacillota; Bacilli; Caryophanales; Paenibacillaceae.
CUUUAUUGGAGAGUUUGAUCCUGGCUCAGGACGAACGCUGGCGGCAUGCCUAAUACAUGCAAGUCGAGCGGACUUGAAGAGAAGCUUGCUUCUCUGAUGGUUAGCGGCGGACGGGUGAGUAACACGUAGGCAACCUGCCCUCAAGUUUGGGACAACUACCGGAAACGGUAGCUAAUA